RNAcentral lists this ribosomal RNA (424 nucleotides) under Klebsiella pneumoniae. RNAcentral describes it as "bacterial SSU rRNA". It matches the Rfam family "Bacterial small subunit ribosomal RNA", at positions 1029 to 1451 of the family's 1533-position model. Lineage: Bacteria; Pseudomonadati; Pseudomonadota; Gammaproteobacteria; Enterobacterales; Enterobacteriaceae. The record is from RNAcentral.
GUGAGACAGGUGCAGCAUGGCCGUCGUCAGCUUGUGUUGUGAAAUGUUGGGUUAAGUCCCGCAACGAGCGCAACCCUUAUCCUUUGUUUCCAGCGGUUCGGCCGGGAACUCAAAGGAGACUGCCAGUGAUAAACUGGAGGAAGGUGGGGAUGACGUCAAGUCAUCAUGGCCCUUACGACCAGGGCUACACACGUGCUACAAUGGCAUAUACAAAGAGAAGCGACCUCGCGAGAGCAAGCGGACCUCAUAAAGUAUGUCGUAGUCCGGAUUGGAGUUUGCAACUCGACUCCAUGAAGUCGGAAUCGCUAGUAAUCGUAGAUCAGAAUGUUACGGUGAAUACGUUCCCGGGCCUUGUACACACCGCCCGUCACACCAUGGGAGUGGGUUUGCAAAAGAAGUAGGUAGCAUCUACUUUAUGGAGGGC